CAGAAUCACGGAAUUGCAGGGGUUGGAAGGGACCUCACAAGUUAUGAUUAUAAAUAUGCCAUGAAAAAUAGGAGAACAGUGUGGCAUUGAGCAUGUUAUGCGAGGAGACAUUCGAAUGGGAAUGCAAGCUCCAAAUGGGAAUGUUUGUUGACAUGGCUGUCCAGCAGAGGAGCAUACAUAAAAUCUGAAGAAAUUCAGAAGCAGAUGGGAGUGAGAAAAAAAGUAUUUCAUGAGUUGGACAAGGGAAAAACGUCUGAUCAAAAUGAAGUUCAGAAAAAAUAAACGGAUGGAAAUCAAAUGCUUCCAGGACAGUUAAAGGAGACAUCAAGGCAGCUCCUAGACAGAAUGAUGUGGGGGAAAAUGCAAAAAACAUGAAAGCUUGUCACUCCGUGCAGUAGAGGUUCUGUCAUGUGAUAUUACUCCACACAGAGGGAAGCCGGAGCAGCCCUGCACGCUGCUUUACACCACUGGAAAAUGCUGAGCUUUGGCUGGGGAAGCUUGGAGUCAGGAGGCGUCUGGGCACAGGGCAGUCCCAUCACUUGAGCUUCACCCGUGUUCCGCUUCUGCAGCAGGUGAGCUCAGCGAGACCAGUUUAAGCAGUGCUGCAGAGGAGAAGAUCAUGGAUGCAAGAAGAUGCCUCAUUUCAGAACACCCAAACAUGAAGAUUUUAUGAACGUCAUUGGGGAUCCUUUGCUGGAGCUGUUGUGUGCUGCCCGCUGCAGCGCAGCCCUCUGUGACCCCUUGCCUCCAAGGAUGGAAUCUGUGAGUCUUUUCCAUCCUGAACUUGUGAGUUCUCCCUCCUGAGCCCAGAGAGCUGGCGUGCAGGAGGAAUGGAUCUCGUCUGUCUGCUGUGAUUCUUGACCCACCUAAUUGGCUAAUGGCCACGAGCAAUAACUGUGUGGCUCAGGGGAGCAGUGCUGGGGAGAGAUGUAGCCGCUCGGGGCAGAGAAGCACUGUGCCGUACCGAACACGUUGCACGUGAUCCUGCCAUCGAUGACCGAACCUCCCUGAAAUCUUAUCAGUUACUGCCAAGAGGAGAAGGACAGCAGGGAAGAGGAGUGUCACGUUGGAACAAUUUUAAGUCCAUUUGAGAACGCUCUGUCUGCCAUUCCUUUUUUAAAGCUACAAAGAUGUGUUUAAGGCAGAGUUCACAAACGCGCAGCUCUCAAGAUCAAGCCAUUCCUUAGCUCACUUUGCAUGCACUUCGUUUGCAUAGCUCGUGGCGUGCAGAACCCUGCCAAGUACACUCUGCUCCUCUGGGCUGCAGUGAGAGGUGGAUGACCAGCGCUGCACGCAGCUAAGCACACAGCCUUAUCAGCGAGCGUGCUUUAGGUAGGUACGUGUGCAAAGUGCUUUCCCGAAGGAGCGGGCAGGUGUGGAAAAUAUCAGAAGGCCAGGUUCUUCCUUAGAACAAGCCCAGUGCCGAGCUGACACUAUCAGCAGCAGCCACACCUCUGCCAGCCCCAGACGGUGCCAGGUGGGUGGAAGCUGUGUGCCUGGGAUCAGUGGGAAAGGGACAAGGGCAGCAGGGGAGGCAGGUGCUGAUGUGAAUGUGCUCUUUCUUGUUUUCUGAAUGCUUCCAGGUUAAAGCGCAGCCAUCUCCAUCACCGUGCUGAGAGAGGAAGUCGCAGAGUCACAGUGUUGACCAGCGCUGUGGCUGGAGGUGAUUUUUUUUUUUUUUUUUUUAAGUCUUCUUUCAAAAUAAUUGUAAUUAAAUCAUUGGUAACUUCUACAUGAAAAGCCCAGUAUGUCAGUGUUACUUAGUAAGAGGUAAGACAUGCUUUGGCAGCAUUAAAUUUUUAGUAGCAUCGUGUAUCAUCUGUAUUUUGUGUGGUUGCAAAAGUGUUGCUCUUACUAUUAUUUGGCUUAAAACCGUCAUGCUUUCUCUUUCCUAUUUUGGGACAUGUAAACUGUUAAACUCCAAGCACUUUUCAGACAUUAUGUUUGACUUACUAUUAUUGCAUACUAUAAAAUACAAUAGAAUGCAGUAUUAAAGUCUAUGCUGAAAGAAUAUUAUUCAGUGGCUAUGAAUAAAAAAUGUGGACAAGUUUUCAAACUUGUGGGUUUUUUUGCUAAUUCUUUACAGAAAGCAUUAUAAUUAUUUGUGUUAUUUUUAAUAUUAAAAAAAAAAGGUUAGUGCCUGUUACUGGGAUGCAUAAGAUGCAGUUGUGUACUGGUGUUUUGUAUUUCUAGGGCUGUAUUUUAUAAACUGAAAAUGUACACUUUUUAAUUUUAGCAUCUUGUUAGCAUAUGCAGUAGAAACUAGUUUUAUAUCUGAAUGUGGGAGUGAGAAGCUCUGUAUUUUUAGCUAUUUCUUUAUUCCAAUAAAUUCAUCCGACAGACCGGCUCUGCAAGUUGAAGAUGAAAAAUUGGUUCCUAAACUACUCGUGUGCUGCUUCAACACUGUGAGGCGAUUCCCCUGUGCUAAAGUGUAAACUACCAACUAAUCCGUAGCAGUUUUACAGGAGAGAGUCAUUUAAUUAACACUUUUAAUUUCAGAUCUGAAAGAAGGUGAAAGCGAGGUCUGGAAAGUGGAGGGAGGCUUUGCUUUUCAUAGCUGAAGAGCUGCUGUGCUCUAAGUCUGCUGUUGAUAGCACCCAUAGACCACCUCCUUCCUGCUAAUUAGGCCUCACGAACACGGUCUCUGGAAAUGGCUUGAGAAGUGUGUUGGGUGGUUGUUUUUUUUCCCCCAACAAACCGCUACACCGUCAUAAAUAAGGAAACUGUAUUGUAUGUAGCUAUUGCACAAGGCUCGUUUGGCAGGCCAUAAUUUAAUAGAACAACAAGGAUCAGACUAGUAUAUCAGUUAAUUUUCAAAACAUUUUAUUCCACACAAAUUAGCACAGGUCCUGGAGGGCAAAAUGACAAGAGGUUACUCGUACACUAUGUAUUUAAUUAAUUGAAAAAUGCUCAAAUUGCUUUUACAGUUGUUAUUAGAAAGUAGAAUCAGUGUUGCCAGUGCUCAACCAUAAUUAGAGCCCCAGGGAAUUAAAUAUUUAGCAUUAGUAAUGUAACAGCACUUAGGACACAAAUUUCUAUUUUUGUAAUGAAAGCAAUACAGUGUAAGUGCAAAUGGCUGAAACGACAGCUGUGACAAGUGAAGCAGCCUGGGAUAUUUCAAUAAGACACCUCAUUGGACAGCAAGUCUUAGCACAUUACUCGUUGGUGAGAGAUCUGCAAGUUUGAAUCCCAGCAGUCGCACGCUGCGCCCUGGAUUUAUGCUCCUGAGGGCGCGCGGCACGAACGCUUGGGCCGAGCUCAGGCCGUGAGCCGUGGAAACGGGCCGCGUUCCCCAAGUACCACAGCGGGGGCGGCACGGCCGAGCGGGAAGCCAACUCUCGUUUGUCUGACGUUUAAUCACGUUUGAAGCAGGCGCGCUUUCAGCGGCAGCACGACGUGAGAAGCCGGGCGCUGGGCUGUAAUGAGCCGCGCUGGUGGAUGGUGGGACCCGGGGGAUUGGUUCAGCACAGGGCUGGGGCGCGGCGCCGCCGGGCUGCGCUCCGCUCCGAGCUCUCUCCCCCCGCCUUUGUUCUGAGCCACGCGGGCUGUCGGGAGGUGCGGUGCUGAGAAGGAAUAAAGCACGUUGACUUCAGUUCUCUGGUUUUUUUCUUCUUGGGAUGGAGGGGAAGGAGGGCAUUUCGAAGCCACUCGUGUUUCUUGAAUAAAAUAAUACUGUGUUUGGGCACGGCACGCCUUGCCGAUAUAUCUGAGGAUGCAUUUCCUCAGGAGGCGCCACGUGCGUGGAAGAGCUGCCGCGCUGUUUGCAGGCGCUGCCCGCCCGCCCG
Numida meleagris (helmeted guineafowl) is the source of this 3785-nucleotide long non-coding RNA. RefSeq lists it as uncharacterized. The record is from RefSeq and is a predicted model, not a curated record. The transcript is spliced from 8 exons. NCBI's taxonomy places the organism in Eukaryota, Metazoa, Chordata, Aves, Galliformes, Numididae.